CCCAGUAAACGGCGGCCGUAACUAUAACGGUCCUAAGGUAGCGAAAUUCCUUGUCAGGUAAGUUCUGACCCGCACGAAAGGCGUAAUGAUUUGGGCACUGUCUCAACAGCCCGCCCGGCGAAAUUGUAGUACUGGUGAAGAUGCCAGUUACCCGCAACUAGACGGAAAGACCCCAUGGAGCUUUACUGCAGCUUAAUACUGGAAUUCGGUAACCCAUGUACAGGAUAGGUGGGAGGCUUGGAAGCAGGGGCGUCAGCUCUUGUGGAGCCGCCGGUGGGAUACCACUCUUGGAUUGCUGAAUUUCUAACCUGCGGCCGUGAAUCCGGUCGGGGGACACUGUUAGGCGGGCAGUUUGACUGGGGCGGUCGCCUCCUAAAGAGUAACGGAGGCGCUCAAAGGUUGGCUCAGCACGGACGGAAAUCGUGCAGUGAGUGUAAACGUAGAAGCCAGCCUAACUGCGAGACCGACGGGUCGAGCAGUAACGAAAGUUGGAGUUAGUGAUCCGGUGGUAUGUGAGUGGAAAUGCCAUCGCUCAACGGAUAAAAGCUACCCUGGGGAUAACAGGCUGAUCUCCCCCAAGCGUCCACAGCGACGGGGAGGUUUGGCACCUCGAUGUCGGCUCGUCACAUCCUGGGGCUGUAUUCGGUCCCAAGGGUUCGGCUGUUCGCCGAUUAAAGUGGCACGCGAGCUGGGUUCAGAACGUCGUGAGACAGUUCGGUCCCUAUCUGUUGCGGGCGGAAGAGAUUUGAAGGGAGCUGUCCUUAGUACGAGAGGACCGGGAUGGACGUACCUCUGGUGCACCAGUUGUCCUGCCAAGGGCAUAGCUGGGUAGCUAUGUACGGACGAGAUAAACGCUGAAAGCAUCUAAGCGUGAAACUCUCCCUAAGAUGAGAUCUCUCAUCCUUUAUGGAGUAAGGGCCCAGAAAGACGAUCUGGUUGAUAGGCCGGAGGUGGAAGUGCAGUAAUGUAUGGAGCUGACCGGUACUAAUAGCCCGAGGGCUUGACCUA
This 1008-nucleotide ribosomal RNA is filed under the name human gut metagenome. RNAcentral's name for it is "bacterial LSU rRNA". It matches the Rfam family "Bacterial large subunit ribosomal RNA", at positions 1919 to 2925 of the family's 2925-position model. The record is from RNAcentral.